Molecule: RNA transcript, 10230 nt
Organism: Aedes aegypti (yellow fever mosquito)
Lineage: Eukaryota; Metazoa; Arthropoda; Insecta; Diptera; Culicidae
Gene: Slik
Gene name: serine/threonine-protein kinase 10
Exons: 17
Source: RefSeq, a predicted model, not a curated record
AAUCAAAGCAAGAAGCCCGCAAGAAGAAAUACGCAGCAAAGUGCGAGUGUGGUGGAAAACGAAGCAGCAAAAUUAUUGUUGAGUGAUGUUUGAACGGUGAUGGUGUCGGAGGUGAUGAAGUGGAUUUUUCCAAACGUGGAAAAGUGCUGGUGAAAGUGGAAAUCUGUGACCUAAAGUGGUAAAAAACGAUUCGCGUCCAUAAGGGGCGGCUUUUGUGCUAGUUUGCGAAAACGGAAAGUGCCAAUUCGUGGGGAAAAGUUGCAUUUGGAAAAUGGGUAGAACACUUAUUGCAGCACACAUCCAUUGCCAGAUCCAGUGUGGACCAGAGGCAGUAAUAGAGUCUCGUCAGCCCGUAGUCAGUAGUCUGCAUACGACGGCAUGAGGAGAGGCCACCACUAGUCAGUCAGUGUGUGUCGUGAGGCGUCGAGUUGAAGUGGACUAACUACCUACAUUUUGUUGAGUGAAAUCUGAAACCAGACAUUUUUCGGAUUACGGAACUGAGUCUUAGGCAGUAGUAGAACAGGUUGUGGGCCACUCGAAAACUGAUUGGAUUUUUCCCGGAAGUGAUCUAUUAUAGGCCAGAAGAUAUGAUGUGUACGUGUGCAAUUGAAUGAAAUGGACAACUAGAUAUGGUUACGUACUGUGCUGGAUUGCCUUAACACCGUCCAUAAUAUCACUAAUGAAUUGUGAAAAUAGUUUCAAUUUUACGCAGUUUUAGUGGCCAAUAAGCGAAUGAUACGGAGCGAAAAGCAAUCGAAGCCCCGAAUGUUGUUGGGAGCGAACCAGCCGGGAAAGAGCGAAAAGAUGUAAUUUUCGGAACGGCCAGUGAGCCACUACAGUGGAAGAAAAGUGAUUGUCCAAUUUCAGCCAACAAAGUGAAGAAGAGUAUGGAGUGUCUGUGUGAUGUCAAAACGGAGUAGCUAACAGGAAAAGAAGUGUACGGAACAAAGUGCGGACGCAGAGGAAGCAGAAGAAGCAGACUUCACCGCUGUGAGCUGACGAGCUGGACACGAAAACCAAGUGCAUAAUACAUACCUACACAAGAAAAAAAAAAACAGUGCGACGUAAACAUUGCGUGGUAAAUUUCCUUUAUUUAAAACCUAGUGUUUUGUGGUGUAAUUUGUUAACUGGAUAUUAUGUGUAUGGGAAACAAUUUCUAUAUUGAAUAAACUAGCAACUCGGAAGCCAGUGUCCAUCAAGUCGAUCGUUGCCAGUAUCGAUAUUUGCAGAGGAGUCAAUUUGGUGUACAGUUUUCGAACGAAAGAUCAAACAACCGAAUAGCUGUUUGUAAUUGGAUAUCCCUCCAAAAACAAUCAUGGGCUAACGUGAGAAUAUUUAGCCAACGCCAAAUUUAUUCGGACAUUUUUCAUCGAAAACAAACAAACAUUUUCCCGACACUGGUCUCGUAGCCGAAAAAAGAAGCAAAGAGCGCACGGCUUCUGGAAUUCGAUGACCAUCGUCGUCGGGUUCCCCAAGGCCUUUGCCGGUAUUUCUCUCGCCGACGACUACUGUUACCGGUAGCGAAUUUGCUACCAGCAGAUGGGAAAAAAUGGCAUUCUGCAACCACCCUAAGGCCGUCGACACAGGUGCUGCGAAACGCAAUUCUUCAUCACACUCCGUAUAUACGGCAAUCAGUGCAGCUAGCCAAGUGGAUGGAAAUAAGCAGAGGCAAGCUUUUCUUCUAUUACUAGCAGUGGAAGCCUCACAAGUGGCGGAUGCGGUGGCAGUUAAGUGAAGUGUCGAAGGAAAUCGCAUAACCGUUUCCUCGUCUCCUGUGUGUGUAUAUUUUGUACUCCGGCUACUCUACCAAGAUGGGUUUCACUUGAGUGAUUUUUGUUCAUUUCUCAAUUUUUACGCUCCAACACUAUUAUUCUCCUGUCGAUUCAAGAAGUGCGGAGCAAGAGCUGUGUCCCAGUUAUCAGUGCAUGUGGAAGAAUAUUUAAAAGCAGAGAAAGAAGAAGCUCACAGAACCAGUGUGCGGAAUAUGUAUGAAGCAUAAAUUGAAUAACCAGAUUUCCUGAAUGUGUAUAGAAGCAAAAUGUGAAGUAUAAUGCAAGUUGAAAUCUUGAUCUGAGAGAGAAGUGAAGCAAGAAGAGCCAAGAAAAUAACAACAAGAGCAAAAGUCGCGGGGAAAUAAGUAAGAUAUUAAAGUGUGAAGAGCAACGAAGAAACGAUGGAAUGCAAGAGAGCCAAAUUGUAAAAUAAUUGCAUGUGAAGUGGAAGGCGUCUCACACAGAAGUAAGAGAAUAGCAGAAGUGUGUACAGAGUGAGCGCGAGCAAUUGUUGAAAGUGAGUGAGUGAGCAAGGGGGUCUAUUUUGAAGGUGAGAUCAAAACAACCACCACGCGACAACAUGUCUUUCCUUAACAACCUGAAGAAGGUCUUCCACCUUGGCGGUGGGGAGGCCAAGAAGAAGCGCAUCUUCAACAACAUUCGGAUGGAUACGGAUCCGAAUGAUUACUGGGAUAUGAUUGGUGAAUUAGGGGAUGGUGCGUUCGGUAAAGUGUAUAAAGCUCAAAAUAAGGAAACCAAACAGCUGGCGGCGGCAAAAAUGUGCACUUUGGAGGAUGAAGAAAAUUUAAGUGAUCAUAUGGUGGAAAUCGAUAUUCUGUCGGAGAUCAAGCACGAGAACAUAGUGGAACUAUAUGAAGCGUUUUCCAUCGAUGAUAAGCUAUGGAUGCUGAUAGAGUAUUGUGAUGGUGGUGCCUUAGAUAGCAUAAUGGUUGAACUAGAAAAACCCUUAACCGAGCCACAAGUUGCCUACGUAUGUAAGCACAUGUGCGCUGGGCUAAACCACUUACACAAGAACAAAGUGAUACAUCGCGAUCUGAAGGCUGGUAACGUAUUGCUGACGAUGGACGGUGGUGUCAAGUUGGCGGAUUUCGGUGUUUCUGCGAAAAACAAACACACGCUUCAGAAACACGAUACUUUCAUUGGAACGCCCUACUGGAUGGCACCGGAGCUGGUACUGUGCGAGACCUUUCGGGAUAAUCCGUAUGAUUUCAAAGUGGAUAUCUGGUCGCUGGGCAUCACGUUGAUCGAGUUUGCCCAGAUGGAGCCACCGAAUAGCGAAAUGUCUCCAAUGAGGGUCCUGUUGAAGAUUCAGAAAAGCGAACCACCAAAACUAGAUCAACCUUCAAAGUGGUCUAAGAGUUUUAAUGAAUUUCUGGCCAAAGCGCUAGUAAAAGAUCCUCAACAAAGGCCUUCCACGGACGUUCUCAUGGGACAUCCAUUUAUCGCUGGUAAUCUGGAUUCCAAGCCAAUCAAAGACCUGUUGCUUGAAUACAAAGCAGAUGUCGUUGAGGAGGAAUUGGUGGAUGAAGAAGCAGAGAAAGCUAAAAGACAAGCGAAGCGUAGAUCGCUUUAUCAGAGGGAACCCCGCAAUUCUGCGCUCCCACUCGACUUGGACGAUGACUCAUCGUCUCUACAAAGUCAAGAAACCUAUAAACUUCCAGAUACUCCCACAUCCCUAUCGAAAUCAUCCAGAGAUUCAAAAGAAUCGACUCCCGUUCCUGUUGAAGAUGAUAGCAAAGCGAAACCGGGAGCAGCGGUCGCAGUCGCAACCACGGCUGCAGCCCAAUCGCCUUCUGAUGUCGUCAAUUCUUCGGCGCCCAGUUCUCAGUCAGCGACAGCUGCAACAACGUCUGUGGCUAGUGAUAGUAAUAGUAAUGUACAAAGUGAUAUCAAGAAAUCACCUACAACGGUUCCUGCUCCAGUAUUACCACCCACCGCACAACGACCUACAAAAGAAAGCGAAGGUGAACAGACUGAAAGUGGUAACAGUAGCAACAGCAGCAGUGCUGAGGUUGAAAAGAAAGGUGUCAUCAAAAAGGAGAAAGGACCGGCUCCUCCACCUCCUCACACUCCUUCAUCGCCAAGCAGUCGAAAUACUCCUAGUUCUAUCGGAGUUAGUUCAUCUUCUCACACAACUAUCCCUCCUACCCCUCCAGAAACCCCACAAAGUCCGGAAAGCAAAGGCGUUGAUCGCCCUGAUACUACAGUGAUUUCAAAACCAGCUUCCCCGUUGACGUUGGAACGCGAAACAAGCGUAGACGAACUUGUAAAAUCACCCAAAAAGGAACACGCUCCAUCUCCUCCAAAAUCUUCACCGAAAGAGGGUAGUCCAUCUUCAUCGCCACAACCUUAUGAAGAUGACGGUGUAGUGGUGACAAGUUCUGCCAGCAGAAGACUUAUUCCAGACGACGACACAGUUGAUCUAAGAAUCGAAUCGCCAAAGCCCAAAGAUGAAGAACUUUUAAAUACCACUGUUGCCAUUCCAAAACCUCCGCUCCAAUUUGACGAUGAGUCAUCCAUACCACCGCGACUUCUACCCGACGACGAAAUUCGGAUAACAUCGACACCCAACAAACAAACGACCAUUAACAAUACCAACAACACUUCGACCAUUACUAUCAAUAACGACACCGUGCUUUCGGAUCCAUCCAACAGUCUUGCCAGUAACGUAAGUCAGAUAACUGUAGUUACAAGCCAUCCGCCGGUGAUAAUCGACAACUCGGUGGUACCAUCCGGCUCAUCGUCGUCCGCCUCGUCAACGAAAUCCUUCGGGUCGUCUCAAAGGAGAUCACGGGUGAUAACGCCAAAAAUAAGCGGCGGCGGUGACGAGGUGGUAAUCGUUUCCAACGAGCUGAACAAAACCCACGUGAAUGAAUCGUCCACGGACGAUGACUUCCAAUCGUUGGACAGCUUGGAAAACCUCUCGCCGAAGUAUAGGAAACAGCACCCGCAAUUGCAACGGUCCGGCAGUGGGCAGAUAGCACGUAAGUUAGAUGAAAGUGAAGUGCUGAUCGUGAGUCCGGUCUUCAUUGGCGAGGAUCAGGACGAACAGCAGCAGGAGCAGGACGAUUUCAUCAAUGAUGAGCUACAUUUAGGUAAUAAUAAUAAUAAUCAUAGUAACAGUAAACUAUUGGACACUAGUCAUGUUUCGGUGGUCACCGUUGGCGAGGAAGAGAUCAAGGUCAAGGACUCUUCGCAUCUGAUCAACAGUGGUACCAGUCAUCUUCUUAUGCAGCAACAGCAGCAGCAUCUGCAGAACCAUCACCAUGAUUCCAUUAGCGAUCUAUCCAAUGUGAGUUGUGGUCCCAGCGAAUCGAGUGAUGAUGUUAAGGUGGUGGACAUGAUGCUGUCACAUCCGACGGGUGGCACUACAAGCACGAGUAGCGUCAGUACCGGCAGCACAGUUACGGCUACCGGAGGUUUUGCUCAACGAUCACCGUCAGGUUCGUCGAUUUCAUCGCCAUUGAGAAGUGGUUCUAGCACUAAGUUGAAUGGCGACUUCAACCGAAGUCGGGAAGACGUCAGUAUAAUAGUUAAUAAGCGAAAAGUUGUGGAAAAGCAAAGGAUUUCGCCCGACAGCAGUGUCGGAUCGAUGGAUGGUGGAGGUUCGGUACGAUCGGCCAGUACACCGUUGCAUCAUCACCUUCAACAACAACAACAACCGCAACAUCACCAGCAGCAUGCGCCUAGCGGCAAACAGCUGGAUCGUAGCGAUGCCGAAAGCAUAGCAACAACAACUAGUCACGACAGCCGCGAACAGUCGGUAGAAGAGGAAGUUCAACUUCGUCGAAAGCCUCCGCCCGCUGAAGUCGAAGAGGACAAGGUUCCGCCAAUCGUCAACAGCAACGUCCGAACGAAGCCCAGCCAGCAGCAGCGGAAUUUCAGCAAGGAAGAAAUACACUUGCAAAAUUUGAAGAAGAAAACGCGAAAACGGACGCGAAAGUUUGAGAUCGACGGUGUUCAAGUCACGACCACCACCAGCAAGGUGAUCUACAGCGAUGAGGACAACAACAAACUGUACGACGAUCAUCUGUUCCGCAAGCAGGAACUGCGGGAGCUCAAGAUGCUCCAGAAGGCGGAGAAGAAGCAGUUUUACGACCUGCAGCAGAAGGAAGCCAUCGCCAAAGAGCAGCAGGAGAAGAAAUUCGAGCAGGAACGUCUUCAGCUGGAGCGAACGUUCGAGGCCGACAUGGACGUGUUGGCGCGGCAGCACCGGCAAACGGUGGAAAAGUACGAACAGCAACAAGAGACUGAACUUAGGAAUACCUCCAAGAAAAUUCGUGCCGAACAGGAGCGAGAUUUGAAAUUGUUCCGCGACAGCCUCAAGCAGGAAAUCAGGCUGCUCAAGCAGGAAGUCGACCUCCUACCAAAAGAAAAGCGGAAAGAUGAAUUCCGGAAGCGUAAGACUGCGAUGGAAAUCGAGCACGAAGAACGAGAGAAGAGUUUCCUGUCCACCCUGUCGGAGAACCACGAGCUCGCUCUGCGACGGAUCAGUGAAAUCUAUCGCGAGAAGCUUUCCGCUGCCGACAAAGGGUAUUUGCAACAGAAGCAAACGGCGAUGAGAACUCGAGAGGCCAUGCUUUGGGAGCUGGAGGAGAAGCACAUUCACGACAAGCACCAACUGGCGAAGCGACACGUGAAGGACAUCUGCUUCAUGCAGCGACACCAAAUGAUCAUUCGCCACGAAAAAGAAUUGGAUCAGAUCAAGAGAAUGAUUUCCCGCAAAGAAGAAGAACUGCUGAAGCGACAAACCAUCGAAAGGCGAGCCUUGCCAAAGCGGAUACGGGCCGAGCGGAAAGCGCGAGAUAUGAUGUUCCGCGAGUCGUUGCGAAUUUCGAUGACCACGGAUCCGGAACUGGAACGGGAGAAGUUGAAGAAGUUCCAGGAGCAAGAGAAGAAACGGUACAACCAGGAGCAGGCUCGUUUCGAAACGAAGCACAUGAAACAGCUGGAAGAGCUGCGAGCUACCUCAGACGGUUCCAUUAGGGAGCUGGAACAGUUGCAAAACGAAAAGCGUAAACAGCUGCUGGAGCAUGAAAGUGCCAAACUGCGCGAGUGCGACGAAGCGCUACAGAAGGAACUGCGCGAGUGGAAAUCGCAGCUUUUGCCGAGGAAACAGGCUAUACAGCAAGAGCUUGACGGGCAGGUGAACGAGUACGAGAUAAAGUGGGGUCCAGUAGACCGACGCGAAUUCGAUGGUGAUUUUGUAGUUCCCCCGGAAAUCCGGAAUCGCACCAACUCCUUGAAUUCCCGUUCCUAUCGACUACAUGGUGGUUUGCUUAGUAUUUCCCGGUCCCGCACCUUCCUCGCGCUACCGGUGGCCAAUGGACGCAACAGUAUACACAGUUCAGUGCCAGAUUUAAGCCGUUCCGUUCCAAAUACUCCCAAUUCGGCUCAUAAGCUUUCGCUGGCAUCGUCCUACGAUUCGGUGCUGGAGGAAAACGAGAAUGAGAAUAUGGCACCUCAUCAGACAGGUCAGGGAGAGCAUCAAUCAGCUAUCAAGUACAUUUUCACUGAUGAUGGGGUGCAUCUGCGUAGGAAAUCUGAAGAUGUACUUUCGGGUAGAAGAACGAAAAUUCCAACUAAAAACAGCCCCAAUAGGCCAUAUCAGGCAAACGGUACUCGGAACACUCCGAGUUUGCCACCUCUUCAAAGCCAUUCCAGGCAAAAUUCCGAGCCAACCAAUCGCGUUGUUCCCAUUAGAGUCAAAAAACCAGGAAAUCUUUUCGAAGCAAUGUCCAAUCGGUCUUCGUCCGGUGUUACCUCGUACAGUGGCGGAAGCACGAUGCCUAGAGGUGGCACUUCCGGCUGGGGAUCUAGCCGCCUCGGUGCCAAUAACUUUUCUUCAGAUGCCAAUAUUAAUAGGUUAACGACUUUUAGUUCAGCUAGAGGUGGUCUUCCACUGCAACAGUAUUCCCAACAUCACAAUGGUGACGAUAGAAACCAGCAUGAUGCUUUGCCUACUUCAGGCAUGAAACUUUCCCCUUCCACUCCAAUCAUCCUGUCGCCGGAAAAAGGAAGUGAUUCAGCUGUUUAGGAUAAAACUAUUUAGAACUAGACGAACCAUUAUUCUUAGAAAUUUUCAACAUAGAAAAAUUUGCUUAAUCUAGGCGUUGAAACUGUGUAUACGCGUUUCUCCUUCUUCCCCCCACUAAUGACCCCUUUAGUGAAAAAGUACGAUUGUUCGAAACAUGCAUACAAAUAAACAUCCGCAUAUUUUGCACCACCAUAACUAUUGCAUCAGCUUCGACAAGAAGCGAGAACUGACCAAUAAUUGCCAAGUCAGCUGCACUUUUGAAUUUAAAUAUGCACUGUUAUGUGCACUAACCCUAUCCAUCAAUCGUAACACCAAUCCUAACCUGUAGAUGACGGCUUCCUACUAACAUCUGACUAACGCAUCAUCGCCUACGUCGAAGCCGUAAUAAUUACUAACACCGCAACAAAACAAAACCGGUCCAAGAUUAUCCAUGAAGAAUCCACAUAAUAUCGCUGCAAUGAAUUCCUGAGCACACACCACAACACAUAAGGGCUGGGAUUAUAUAUUGAGUACUCCAGAAAGUAUCGUUUUGAAGCAGUCGAAUUAGGUAAACCGCAAGAAAUAGAGGAUCGUUCGAGAGGAGAAUGAUACCAAGCGCCUCGAGGAAACCUUCGCUCAGCAGCACGAGGAAAUGGAACAACUGUACGGCAACAGUGUGGUACCGAUGCCACCGCAGUCUCCACAGGCGCAUGAUCUGCUGCAAAUUGGAUCGACCCGAAGCAGUAUUUCCUCCUACUCGGACGGCCUGGGGGCAUGACAGAGGGGGAACGGCGGCUACAGCACCACCAGUGUCAACAGUCGUCUCAAACGGUGAGGUGAGGAUAAGCCGAUGUCGGUCCAUGUUCUAGGGAAACCCUACGAUAGAAAGUGAAUUCUAUGGCUCCCUCACAUAACUAAUAGGAAAUGUAAAAAAAUAUCAGAAAAGCUGUGUAGAUAGUCAGGGUUAUAAAAAGAGAAUCGAUGAGAUACGCAAUCUAUCAACUGUGAGUGAAGCACUCUGUGCAAUUAGGGCCGAUAGCUUGUUCGGUCGGAUGCUGGAGUAGGCAGCGAUAGUAAUCAAUGUGUCAAAAUUGAUCAAGUGCAGCUAUACAAAAAUUCGUUAUCCGAUUGCAUAUAGUUUUGUUUUUUUCAUAGGGUUAAGUUCAAAGUAGCGUUUAAAUAUCAUACGUUAGGGAUCUACUUAACCAAAACCUAAUUUAUACUUCAUUCAAAUCAAACAGCGAAACAUAUUUUAGCUGAGAAACUAUGCAGAAUAAAUCCCGAUGGUACCAAUGUAAGUAAAUCUAAAUAUGGUUCGCCAACUGUUUGUGUUUUAAAUAUUUAUUACACACAUGCAAAUAAACGCAAUAUCUUCCAAUCAAAACAAUAAACGACAAGUCUGCCGACGCCUCUCCUAACUUAGCAUUCUCCGAAAGCGCAGCAUUUAGGAUAAUAUCGCCCAUUUUAGCCUACCGAUUAAUGUUAUUACUUUCCUGGCAUUUGUACAUAUGUAUUUUCUUUUGAACCAUGUUUUUAGAGUUUCAUUUUAAUAGUUAACAUUAUUUUAACUUUUAAUAUAAAAAAGUUUCGAUUUUUAACUUCACGCCCAACGUGUUUCAUCUUCAAAUCGGAUUUUCGAGCACAAUGUGCAUCCCAGUUGCUUUUUCGUCAAUUAUAAAUAAUUGAGUUAAAAUAAGGUUACCGUUUCUACAAUUCAUUUCAAGCUUCCAUGUUAAUGCAACUUGAAACACUAUAAUUAAAGCUCGAAGCAGUUAUUCCUUUUUAUUGUAUUUUUGUUAAUCGUUAGCACCCAAUAGAACAAACAUGAUCAUUCCGAGUUUUAAUCACCUGGGUUUCAAACAAAGUGAAUAUGGAAGCGUGAAAUGGACGUCGGAACGAGUCCCCUAAAUGCCAUUAUUCAACGAUUCGGUCUCGAUAAAAUCAACGCAUGGCUUGAGAGGCGAACUUCCUACGAUUGCAAACUUUCAAUUUAUCCGGUUUUUGUUAAUCGUUUAAACACUGAUUCGAUAGGCAUAGUUUAGUUAUUUCUAUGAAUUUAAAUUAAAAAUCACAACCACAAACGCAAAGUAUUGUGAAUUUGUACAUAGGUCCUUUGAUUAGUAGCAAUAGCGAAAGUCCCUGUUUCUAGGUUCAUUACCAGUACAUAAGGUUGACAAAACAACAAGAAACACAAACUUGAAUCAAUUUUGAAUGCAACUCAAUCAGCGAUAUAGCCAAUCGAAUCCAUCUCGAUUGGUAACAUUUACGAGAGACAGACUUAAUGAUAGAUUGAGAGAAACAGUUUAUUAGAUGAUCAAACUGAGGCAACUGAUGGAAGUAUAGAGAAGUAGAUGGUUGAUAAAAAUAUAUAACAGUAUACAUAUACAUAGAUAAUGAAGAAAACAAUAUUUUAUUCAUUAA